CUACGGGCUGCAGCAGGUAGGAAUAAUCUACAAUGCGCGAAAGUGUGAUAGUUUGAGCCAGAGUGCGAUUCAUUGAAUCGCUUUUGUGGAAUGUAAAAAGUUCUACGAAUAAGGACUGGGUAAGACGGGUGCCAGCCGCCGCGGUAAUACUCGCGGUCCAAGUCGCAGCCAUUUUUAUUGGGUCUAAAACAUCCGUAGCUUGCUUAAUAAGUUUCUUGUGAAAUCCGGCUUCUCAAGAGUUGGGCGGGCAAGAAGUACUGUUGAGCUAGAGACUGGAAGACGUGAGGAGUACGUUCGAAGUAGCGGUAAAAUGUUUUAAUCUCGGACGGACUCACAACAGCGAAGGCACCUCACGAGGACAGUUCUGACAGUAAGGGAUGAAGGCUAGGGGCGCAAAACGGAUUAGAUACCCCCGUAGUC
RNAcentral lists this ribosomal RNA (420 nucleotides) under uncultured archaeon. RNAcentral's name for it is "partial 16S ribosomal RNA". It matches the Rfam family "Archaeal small subunit ribosomal RNA", at positions 323 to 746 of the family's 1478-position model. The record is from RNAcentral.